Caenorhabditis elegans is the source of this 98-nucleotide non-coding RNA. Lineage: Eukaryota; Metazoa; Nematoda; Chromadorea; Rhabditida; Rhabditidae. The record is from RefSeq.
AAAAUAAAAUAUAUAUGCGUUCGGGGGGAAUCGAACCCCCGUCGAAUGCUUGGAAGGCAUCCAUGCUGACCAUUACACCACGAACGCGCUGUUUUCCU